Molecule: long non-coding RNA, 545 nt
Organism: Macrobrachium nipponense
Lineage: Eukaryota; Metazoa; Arthropoda; Malacostraca; Decapoda; Palaemonidae
Exons: 3
Source: RefSeq, a predicted model, not a curated record
ACACGUUCGAGGAAAAACCAAGCGCAAACUUUUUCUUCUUCUUUAACCGCCUGAAAUUGCCUAAGAAAGUCGUUGCGGAAGGAUGUUAUCGAUUAUUAUUCGUAGAUUGGUUUGACAUAUUCAUUUGGCACUACGUCAAAACGCGAACGAAAUCAGAUAGAAUCGGCGGUGUUGUGACUUGUGAGAGUGAUCUUUUUAUGUGUCCAUUUCUGCUGACGCACUGUCUCUAGACGCAUGUAUAGAUAAUGACUUCGCGUGUUCAAAAUGCCUCCCAAAACUAGAUCUAUCUUUGGAAGACUACAUUUCCUCAAAAAGGUCUUGAUCCUGGCAUCUUCGGCGUACUCGGUCCAUGCUCAAUAUUCUCUGCUUUACUUCACACGACUUUGUUAUCUUACUACUGCCAGGAAGAAUGCAGUGUCAGGCUGUGGGCAGACCCAAUUCCACCAGAAGACAGCCAUAUAGUCUCCUUCAUACGUCGUAAUGUUUUGGAUGGUCCACAGGAGCAUGUGUUGUAUGUAACGAAGAGUGACCUUGAAGGUGUGCCG